CAUACCAAACUGUUGCCUCGGCGGGGUCACGCCCCGGGUGCGUCGCAGCCCCGGAACCAGGCGCCCGCCGGAGGGACCAACCAAACUCUUUCUGUAGUCCCCUCGCGGACGUUAUUUCUUACAGCUCUGAGCAAAAAUUCAAAAUGAAUCAAAACUUUCAACAACGGAUCUCUUGGUUCUGGCAUCGAUGAAGAACGCAGCGAAAUGCGAUAAGUAAUGUGAAUUGCAGAAUUCAGUGAAUCAUCGAAUCUUUGAACGCACAUUGCGCCCGCCAGUAUUCUGGCGGGCAUGCCUGUCCGAGCGUCAUUUCAACCCUCGAACCCCUCCGGGGGGUCGGCGUUGGGGAUCGGGAACCCCUAAGACGGGAUCCCGGCCCCGAAAUACAGUGGCGGUCUCGCCGCAGCCUCUCCUGCGCAGUAGUUUGCACAACUCGCACCGGGAGCGCGGCGCGUCCACGUCCGUAAAACACCCAACUUCUGAAAUGUUGACCUCGGAUCAGGUAGGAAUACCCGCUGAACUUAAGCAUAUCAAU
This 532-nucleotide unclassified non-coding RNA is filed under the name Trichoderma koningiopsis. Its description in RNAcentral is "sequence contains ITS1, 5.8S rRNA gene and ITS2". The stretch from base 153 to 306 matches the Rfam family "5.8S ribosomal RNA". Lineage: Eukaryota; Fungi; Ascomycota; Sordariomycetes; Hypocreales; Hypocreaceae. The record is from RNAcentral.